RNAcentral lists this ribosomal RNA (115 nucleotides) under Paenibacillus agri. Its description in RNAcentral is "Paenibacillus sp. JW14 partial 16S ribosomal RNA". It matches the Rfam family "Bacterial small subunit ribosomal RNA", at positions 1430 to 1533 of the family's 1533-position model. The record is from RNAcentral. Lineage: Bacteria; Bacillati; Bacillota; Bacilli; Caryophanales; Paenibacillaceae.
GUGGGGUAACCCGCAAGGGAGCCAGCCGCCGAAGGUGGGGUAGAUGAUUGGGGUGAAGUCGUAACAAGGUAGCCGUAUCGGAAGGUGCGGCUGGAUCACCUCCUUUCUAUGGAGA